UGGGGAAUAUUGGACAAUGGGCGGAAGCCUGAUCCAGCAACGCCGCGUGAGGGAUGACGGCCUUCGGGUUGUAAACCUCUUUCAGCACAGACGAAGCGCAAGUGACGGUAUGUGCAGAAGAAGGACCGGCCAACUACGUGCCAGCAGCCGCGGUAAUACGUAGGGUCCGAGCGUUGUCCGGAAUUAUUGGGCGUAAAGGGCUCGUAGGCGGUUUGUCGCGUCGGGAGUGAAAACACCGGGCUUAACUCGGUGCUUGCUUUCGAUACGGGCAGACUAGAGGCAUUCAGGGGAGAACGGAAUUCCUGGUGUAGCGGUGAAAUGCGCAGAUAUCAGGAGGAACACCGGUGGCGAAGGCGGUUCUCUGGGAAUGUCCUGACGCUGAGGAGCGAAAGUGUGGGGAGCGAACAGGAUUAGAUACCCUGGUAGUCCACACCGUAAAACGUUGGGCGCUAGGUGUGGGAUCCAUUCCACGGGUUCCGUGCCGCAGCUAACGCAUUAAGUGCCCCGCCUGGGGAGUACGGCCGCAAGGCUAAAACUCAAAUGAAUUGACGGGGUCAUAGCUGUUUCCU
RNAcentral lists this ribosomal RNA (569 nucleotides) under uncultured bacterium. Its description in RNAcentral is "partial 16S ribosomal RNA". It matches the Rfam family "Bacterial small subunit ribosomal RNA", at positions 355 to 1375 of the family's 1533-position model. The record is from RNAcentral.